AAAAAAAAAAAAAUCUUUGGCCAGUCCUAAUCAAGGCGUGUGUUACAGGUCUCUCGUGUGGAUUUUCUGAUGUCUGAUAAGGUGUGAGCUAUUUUUGAGGCUUUUCCCGCACUCAGAGCAUCCUUAAGGUUUCUCACCAGUGUGGAUUCUCUGAUGUAUAAUCAGGUCAGGUCAGAGCUCCGUCUGCAGCUUUUCCCACACUCAGAGCAUGUGAAGGGCGUCUCCCUGUGGAUUCUCUGAUGCGUGAUAAGGUUUGAAGUCCAAUUGAAGCUUUACCCACCCCAAAAGCAUGUCUAGGGCGUCUCUCCGGUGUGGAGUCUCUGAUGCUUGGUAAGCUCCCAGUGCCGACG
Long non-coding RNA from Gopherus flavomarginatus (Mexican gopher tortoise), 350 nucleotides. RefSeq lists it as uncharacterized. NCBI's taxonomy places the organism in Eukaryota, Metazoa, Chordata, Testudines, Testudinidae. The transcript has 3 exons. The record is from RefSeq and is a predicted model, not a curated record.